UAACAAGGUUUCCGUAGGUGAACCUGCGGAAGGAUCAUUACCGAGUGUAGGGUUCCUAGCGAGCCCAACCUCCCACCCGUGUUUACUGUACCUUAGUUGCUUCGGCGGGCCCGCCAUUCAUGGCCGCCGGGGGCUCUCAGCCCCGGGCCCGCGCCCGCCGGAGACACCACGAACUCUGUCUGAUCUAGUGAAGUCUGAGUUGAUUGUAUCGCAAUCAGUUAAAACUUUCAACAAUGGAUCUCUUGGUUCCGGCAUCGAUGAAGAACGCAGCGAAAUGCGAUAACUAGUGUGAAUUGCAGAAUUCCGUGAAUCAUCGAGUCUUUGAACGCACAUUGCGCCCCCUGGUAUUCCGGGGGGCAUGCCUGUCCGAGCGUCAUUGCUGCCCAUCAAGCACGGCUUGUGUGUUGGGUCGUCGUCCCCUCUCCGGGGGGGACGGGCCCCAAAGGCAGCGGCGGCACCGCGUCCGAUCCUCGAGCGUAUGGGGCUUUGUCACCCGCUCUGUAGGCCCGGCCGGCGCUUGCCGAACGCAAAUCAAUCUUUUUCCAGGUUGACCUCGGAUCAGGUAGGGAUACCCGCUGAACUUAAGCAUAUC
Molecule: ribosomal RNA, 592 nt
Filed under: Aspergillus flavus
Lineage: Eukaryota; Fungi; Ascomycota; Eurotiomycetes; Eurotiales; Aspergillaceae
Description: eukaryotic LSU rRNA
Rfam family: 5.8S ribosomal RNA (bases 223-376)
Source: RNAcentral